UCAGAGUUCACUGUACUAGAACAUUUAAACGAGUUUGGUUUAUCGGGUUGAAAUUUGGGUAAUCAUCACUUUACCAGUCUAACUCACAUGAUGAUUUUACUGUGAGCACCACCCUGUUAACUGAGACUCAAAGUUUAGAAUGAAAGUAUGCACUGCAAUGGUUUUCUAUAUCACUUACCUGAAAGAUAGAUGCUAAAGAAUAUCCAAUAGGAAAUUGCACUUUUCUCCUGCUAAAUAUGUAAAACAUACGUAUUUACUUGUUAACUCCCAGCUCAUAAAACCAGAUGACAGUAUCAGCCCUCUAGAUACUAUUCACUGUUAUUGGCCCUGGCGCCUCUAUCUUCACCAUCCUUUGGUCCUGUCCCAUCCAUGUCGUUCACCUUCAUUAUCACAAGAGUGCUGUAUUUUUUUUUUCCACUAUGAGAGAAACUAGUUUAUUCAUUUGGAAAAUGCGAAGCCUUGCCACUUGUUUUCAUCAGUGAAGGCGGCAUCAGAACCACAUCUGCCAUAUUGUAACAGCUCUCAGGCUGGUAGCCAGUGUAGUGAUCAAACAUCUGUGAAAUAAAAUGUUCGCAAAAGUGCUCUACACUGAAACUGUUAGACUGCCCUUAGAGGUCCUUUAAAAAUCUCAUCCGUUGCUUUAAAUUAAAGAAAUGAGCAGGACAGAAGAGAAACGAAAGGGGAUAAAAGACUACAGAAGAGCUGAAGGCAUCUUAUCUGGUGAGUCUUCAUUAUUUUGUGUUCACAUUAUGAAAUUUCAUGCCUGUUAGCUCCGUGAAAGCCAGUUAUUAACUUACAAUAUCUUGUUUUUAGGGAACUGCCCUGGUGUUUCAAAAUCUGGCAGGUCUCAGGUACCUCUGUCUUACUUCCAGAUUCCUGCAGAAGCUCAUUUUGUUUGUUUUACAUCAUGAUUGGGGAUUUCAUUAAGUGCCUGACUGUGCUCUGUGUCUCACUGAUCUAAGAGCUUUCUCUGACACCAAGGACAGACAUUGCCCAUCCUCCAGAAGACUGACAUUUAAGUCAGAUAACUUUGAAGCCAACAGAUAGAAAGAAAGCUGAACAACAGAGCCAGUAUGAACGAGGACAGAGAUAAUUUCUAUUGUGGUACAAAAAUCUUCAGGGGUUCCAAGGCUUCAAGCUUAGCAUUUGUUAUUUCUAGUAACUAGAACCAACAGAGAUGCUGGUGACAGUUGUGUGGACUUCCUUUACUGAUUUUAUGUCCCGGAAACAUACUAUCCCAUGUUAAAAGGCUGGAAGUCCAAAGAAUUCUUACCUUUAUUCCCUAACAUGCUUAACUCGAGCAUACUUGUGUAUUUCCUACCUAACCUUCCCGACCAAAGUCACAUGAAAUGUCUUCACUUUUCUCACUCCUAAUUUUAUAAAUAAAAAAUAUUUUUAUUUUAUAUGUAAAUACUCCUGGGUCUCCAGUCUCCAGUUUCUGUUAAUGAUGGAAUAGCUUAUCAUCCACAGGUAAUAAUGAUGGAAUCUGGGCAAUCAGAAAGUACUGUAGAGUAACAAGAAACAGGCAGAAACUGAAUAAAUCUAACCUUGAAAGACAGUGGGUAACAUUUGUCUAUGGGUUUUUGCCUGAGGACAUUCUUCAAUCUAGGAUUAAGAACACAAACUGAAGGUAUUGAAAGAUGGAAUUUGAAGUCAACAGAACAACCAGAAAAUCAGAGGGAAAAAUCCAGUUUAAAAAAAGAAAGUUACUAUCCAUGUAAAAAAUAGGAAAAAGUGAUACUUACUCAAGGGAAAAAAAUUGUCAAUAGAAACAGACCCUGUUACAAAUAUGCUCAAGGACUUAAUGAACAACACACAAAGUCUUCACGUGGGGAAUUUCAUCUUAGAAAUAGAACCUAAAGAUCAAAUGGGAGUUCCAAAGCUGAAAAGCAUAAAUAACUGGAAUGGAGAAUUUACUGUUUGGGCUUAAUAUCAGAUUGAAGACAACAGAAGAAAGAGUCAAUAAACUAAAAGAUCAAUAGAGAUUAUCCAAUCUGAAGAACAGGAAGGAAAAAUUAGAGAAAACACAUAUUUUAGAUGAAGACAGGAAGUAAAAGUAGGGCAGAAUUGAAGUGAAUGUUUAGUACUAAUAAAUUCUAGCAAUUCUGCAAAGAAAAAAAAUUGAAAAAUUAACAAAACUUGGAUUUUGAAUGUCUAGUUCUUAUAGUGUUUCUUCCAAGAGUGAAAGGGAACAUAGCUGGUUUCAGAACUGGGUUUUUGUUGGCUUUCAUAAUUUCUCUCACGUGGCUGUAAGUUUCCUAGCGUUCUGUCCUUUUCCUCUUUUUUCGUUUCGCUCCUUCCAGCAUGAAUGGCCUUUCCCUUCUGUGUGCUGUAUUCAGGAGCUAGUUUAUUAUGAAAGACAACUUCUAACCGUGGACUGAGGCAAAAGAUGCACGUGAUGAGUCAUCGUGUACUGAUCCAUAAUUCAUUGGUUUGCAUUUUGAUGCAUUCUCCUUUGUAUUUCACUUUAACUAUAAUUUUUGAGAUCUUGCUAAUUCAAAUCAUAGUGAAUCAUUUAGUUAUUUUUAGGCACCAGUCUUCCUUAAGAAUCUGUGGAUACAAAAUACCAAAUAAUAUUUCAAAAUAAGUGAAUUUUAAUUCUUGAUCGCUCUAGACACAAGUCUGUCUCGUUUGGU
This is a long non-coding RNA of Capra hircus (goat), 2636 nucleotides long. RefSeq lists it as uncharacterized. Lineage: Eukaryota; Metazoa; Chordata; Mammalia; Artiodactyla; Bovidae. The record is from RefSeq and is a predicted model, not a curated record. The transcript has 3 exons.